RNAcentral lists this ribosomal RNA (361 nucleotides) under uncultured bacterium. RNAcentral describes it as "bacterial SSU rRNA". It matches the Rfam family "Bacterial small subunit ribosomal RNA", at positions 69 to 422 of the family's 1533-position model. The record is from RNAcentral.
GCUCAUUCGGUGGCAACAUCGGAGAAGGCCUAGUGGCGAACGGGUGCGUAACACGUGAGGAACCUGCCCCGAAGACCGGGAUAACAGCGGGAAACCGCUGCUAAUACCGGAUGACCCCAUCAGGCCGCAUGGCCAGGUGAGGAAAUGGGCCUACCGCUUCGGGAGGGCCUCGCGGCCUAUCAGCUUGUUGGUGGGGUAACGGCCUACCAAGGCUACGACGGGUAGCUGGUCUGAGAGGACGACCAGCCACACUGGGACUGAGACACGGCCCAGACUCCUACGGGAGGCAGCAGUGGGGAAUCUUGCGCAAUGGGCGAAAGCCUGACGCAGCAACGCCGCGUGAGGGAUGAAGGUCUUCGGG